GACGAACGCUGGCGGCGUGCUUAACACAUGCAAGUCGAACGGAAAGGCCCUGCUUUUGUGGGGUGCUUGAGUGGCGAACGGGUGAGUAACACGUGAGUAACCUGCCCUUGUCUUUGGGAUAACUUCAGGAAACUCGGGCUAAUACCGGAUAGGAGCUCCUGCUGCAUGGUGGGGGUUGGAAAGUUUCGGCGGUUGGGGCUGGACUCGCGGCUUAUCAGCUUGUUGGUGGGGUAGUGGGUUACCAAGGCUUUGACGGGUAGCCGGCCUGAAAGGGUGACCGGCCACAUUGGGACUGGGAUACGGCCCAGACUCCUACGGGAGGCAGCGGUGAGGAAUUUGGGGCAAUGGGCGGAAGCCUGAAGGAUCAACGCCGCGUGCGGGAUGACGGCCUUCGGGUUGUAAACGGCUUUCGCGUGUGACGAAGCAUGGGUGACGGUAAUGGGUAAAGAAGCACCGGCUAACUACGU
RNAcentral lists this ribosomal RNA (467 nucleotides) under uncultured bacterium. RNAcentral describes it as "partial 16S ribosomal RNA". It matches the Rfam family "Bacterial small subunit ribosomal RNA", at positions 28 to 506 of the family's 1533-position model. The record is from RNAcentral.